UACAGGGGGUGCUAGCGUUGUUCGGAAUUACUGGGCGUAAAGGGCGCGUAGGCGGUUUUGUAAGUCAGGAGUGAAAUCCCGGAGCUUAACUCCGGAAUUGCUUUUGAAACUACAAGGCUAGAGUGAGUUAGAGGAUGUCGGAAUUCCUAGUGUAGAAGUGAAAUUCGUAGAUAUUAGGAAGAACACCGGUGGCGAAGGCGGACAUCUGGGACUCUACUGACGCUGAGGCGCGAAAAGCGUGGGGGAUCAAAACAGGG
This 257-nucleotide ribosomal RNA is filed under the name uncultured bacterium. Its description in RNAcentral is "partial 16S ribosomal RNA". It matches the Rfam family "Bacterial small subunit ribosomal RNA", at positions 524 to 777 of the family's 1533-position model. The record is from RNAcentral.